GCUCUAAGCUUUCGAAGUGAAGCCUCUGACAUUGUGAGAACAGACUCUGGAGCCAGGUUGCUUGGAUUCAAAUCUAGACACCACCACUCACUGGCUGCGUGAGCUCGGGCAAGUUAUUCCACUUCUCUGACCCUCAUUUUUCUCAUCUCCAAAAUGGGUAUGAUAAUAGUACCUACCUGCUAGGAUUGUUAUGAGGACUAAUUGAGUUAAUUCACAAAGUGGAUUUCAGAACCCUAUAAAAACAAAAUUAAAAACCCUGCAGGGCGAAUGCCCAACCAAAUGAAAAUUUUUGCUAAAAGUUGGUGAAAAUAUAUAAGAGUAGAGGGAAGCAGAGACAGGUUGUGGGAACUCAAAUAAAUGAUAGGAAAUAUUGGAAAUCAGGUUGGGGGAAGUUUAUCUAUCUACAAUGUAUUUUUUGUAUUUUAGUCUCACCAUGAAUCGCUCAUGUGGUGGAACUUGAUAUCAUUAAAUUGACUACUCAAGACUCUACAGUGGAAAGUUCUCCAGACUCUUGCUACUUGGAUUGUGGUCUGUGGACCAGCAACAGUGGCAUUACCUGGGAGCCUGUUAGAAAUGCUGAGUCUCGGGUCCACUCCAGACCUACUGAAUCAGGAUCUGCAUUUAGCAGAAUCUGAAGCAUUUCUUGGUAGUGGGAGUUCAAUAAGUCAGUGACCCAUCUGAGCUGACAUCAGAGGAAGGAUCAAGGCUGCUCAGAAAAAGGAUCUAAUGUCCCUAGGGACACUAGAUGGUGGCCUCAAAGACACCCUCUUCCUCUGAAAGGAAAGAAAGACAGCCUGCUGACCAUGUGACUAUGCUACAGGCACAGGGCUGCCUGGUACAUCAAAGGCCCUCAAUAGAUGUUUUGUUGGAAGAAUGGAUCAACUAUACUUCUCAGCUAAUCUGAGCCCAAAGCAAGGAGGUAUUGACAGACUGCCCACAUACCCACAAAACUGAUAAACACGGUAUUUUGAAAGCAUGAAGUCAAUUGUUAG
Miniopterus natalensis is the source of this 992-nucleotide non-coding RNA. The record is from RefSeq and is a predicted model, not a curated record. NCBI's taxonomy places the organism in Eukaryota, Metazoa, Chordata, Mammalia, Chiroptera, Miniopteridae.